Molecule: transfer RNA, 83 nt
Organism: Babjeviella inositovora NRRL Y-12698
Lineage: Eukaryota; Fungi; Ascomycota; Pichiomycetes; Serinales
Rfam family: tRNA
About the family: Transfer RNA (tRNA) molecules are approximately 80 nucleotides in length. Their secondary structure includes four short double-helical elements and three loops (D, anti-codon, and T loops).
Source: Rfam
GCCUGGCUAGCUCAAUCGGUAGAGCGUGUGACUCUUAGCAGUACGCGAUCACAAGGUUGCGGGUUCGACCCCCGCGUCGGGUU